Mercenaria mercenaria is the source of this 462-nucleotide long non-coding RNA. RefSeq lists it as uncharacterized. The record is from RefSeq and is a predicted model, not a curated record. The transcript is spliced from 3 exons. NCBI's taxonomy places the organism in Eukaryota, Metazoa, Mollusca, Bivalvia, Venerida, Veneridae.
AACUAGGUCAAACCUGCUCUUCUGGUGAAUGUGUAACAAAUGCAGAAUGCGACGAGACAUGUAAGUGCUCGGAUGGAUACAUUGACACUAACGGACUUUGUGCUGUUCCGUCUUCUACAAUCACAGCCAAGCUGUCAACCAGUGUAACUGUAAUGUCGAUUCUAAGUAUUGCAGUUCGUAAUAUUCUCUGAGAAUGCAUCUUUAGCCAGACGUAAUUAUUAACCAGAGAAAACUCAAUUCUGACGUUCUAUUUUCAAAUAAUCAUACAUUGACAUGAAAUUCUACUUAAUCGGAUUUUACACACGUGUAAAUGUACGUUAAUUUGUUUGAAGUCCAUAUAUAUUUUCUUAAGAGUUUUGAUUUAAUGACUGUAGGUAUUUGUUCUCUUAAUAUUGAAAUAGAUCUACGUUUCCUCCGACAGUAUUAAGCGAAACUGUCUUACAGAAAUAUUUAUGAUGUAAA